CCCAAGCCCCGCCUCUGGGCGGGGGCCCAAGCGAUUUCCGAGUGCUGAAACCUGGGAUGACAGAGCAGCCCAGGGAAAGCGCGUGUUCCAGUUUACUAGAUACCACAGAGGUCACAAAUUCGCAUCUUCCCCAAUCAUUCCUGCAGAUAACAUCACUGUUGUAGAACCUAAGAUUGGCCUUUUGAGAUGUCUUUUCAGGUUUUUGCAUUUCUGACAAGUGGAUGGCCCCACCCUGACUCAUCAACCUGGGGAUCCA
This 256-nucleotide long non-coding RNA is filed under the name Homo sapiens (human). RNAcentral's name for it is "HSALNT0024410". Lineage: Eukaryota; Metazoa; Chordata; Mammalia; Primates; Hominidae. The record is from RNAcentral.